This 424-nucleotide ribosomal RNA is filed under the name uncultured prokaryote. Its description in RNAcentral is "bacterial SSU rRNA". It matches the Rfam family "Bacterial small subunit ribosomal RNA", at positions 355 to 796 of the family's 1533-position model. The record is from RNAcentral.
UGGGGAAUAUUGGACAAUGGGCGCAAGCCUGAUCCAGCCAUGCCGCGUGAGUGACGAAGGCCCUAGGGUUGUAAAGCUCUUUCAGUGGUGACGAUGAUGACGGUAGCCACAGAAGAAGCCCCGGCUAACUCCGUGCCAGCAGCCGCGGUAAUACGGAGGGGGCAAGCGUUGUUCGGAAUUACUGGGCGUAAAGGGCGCGUAGGCGGUCUGUUGCGUCAGGUGUGAAAGCCCCGGGCUCAACCUGGGAACUGCCUUUAAAACUGAUACUCUAGAGUCCGGAAGAGGGUCGCGGAAUUCCCAGUGUAGAGGUGAAAUUCGUAGAUAUUGGGAAGAACACCGGUGGCGAAGGCGGCGACCUGGUCCGGUACUGACGCUGAGGCGCGAAAGCGUGGGGAGCAAACAGGAUUAGAUACCCCCGUAGUCC